GCUCUUAUGAAGUUAGCGGCGGACGGGUGAGUAACACGUGGGUAACCUGCCCAUAAGACUGGGAUAACUCCGGGAAACCGGGGCUAAUACCGGAUAACAUUUUGAACCGCAUGGUUCGAAAUUGAAAGGCGGCUUCGGCUGUCACUUAUGGAUGGACCCGCGUCGCAUUAGCUAGUUGGUGAGGUAACGGCUCACCAAGGCAACGAUGCGUAGCCGACCUGAGAGGGUGAUCGGCCACACUGGGACUGAGACACGGCCCAGACUCCUACGGGAGGCAGCAGUAGGGAAUCUUCCGCAAUGGACGAAAGUCUGACGGAGCAACGCCGCGUGAGUGAUGAAGGCUUUCGGGUCGUAAAACUCUGUUGUUAGGGAAGAACAAGUGCUAGUUGAAUAAGCUGGCACCUUGACGGUACCUAACCAGAAAGCCACGGCUAACUACGUGCCAGCAGCCGCGGUAAUACGUAGGUGGCAAGCGUUAUCCGGAAUUAUUGGGCGUAAAGCGCGCGCAGGUGGUUUCUU
RNAcentral lists this ribosomal RNA (519 nucleotides) under Bacillus sp. EB28. RNAcentral describes it as "bacterial SSU rRNA". It matches the Rfam family "Bacterial small subunit ribosomal RNA", at positions 80 to 584 of the family's 1533-position model. Lineage: Bacteria; Bacillati; Bacillota; Bacilli; Caryophanales; Bacillaceae. The record is from RNAcentral. RNAcentral also lists the same sequence under 3 other names.